RNAcentral lists this ribosomal RNA (931 nucleotides) under Entamoeba coli. Its description in RNAcentral is "bacterial SSU rRNA". It matches the Rfam family "Eukaryotic small subunit ribosomal RNA", at positions 453 to 1278 of the family's 1831-position model. The record is from RNAcentral. Lineage: Eukaryota; Evosea; Mastigamoebida; Endamoebidae.
AAAAUGAAGGAGGUAGUGACGACAAUUAACGCUAUCCUCGUCUUUUGGCGAGGAUCGUCGGAAUGAUUUCGAUUUAAAAUAUCGAAAGAAAGCAAUUGGAGGGCAAGUCUGGUGCCAGCAGCCGCGGUAAUUCCAGCUCCAAUAGUGUAUUGUAAAGUUGUUGUGAUUAAAACGCUCGUAGUUGAAUGAAAACAAUCGGGACAUGAUUUACGAUCUCUCCUCCAUACGGUGGAUUCGUCCAUUAGGUUGAGUUGAUCAAAAAUCAAACAAUGUCCUACUAUAAGCGAGAGGGUGGAAUUAAUUCCAAACUCUUUUACUUUGAUUAAAUCAAGGUGCUUAAAGCAAAAUCUUCUGUUAACGAAUGAUGAAGCAUGGUAUAGAAUUAAAACAGAACAGAAAGAAUAACGAAUAAAUGGAGAUGGGCAACCAUUCGAAAUUUAUUUAUUUUUGUUUUGUUUAAAACAAGGUUAAGAGAAAUGAUUAGGGUGAUUUAGAUAGGAACGGGAGAGGUGGAAUUCCAUGAUCGUUUCGAGAUAAACGAGAGCGAAAGCAUUUCACUGAAUUCAUUUCAUUAAUCAAGAACGAAAGUCAGGGAAUCAAAGACGAUUAGAUACCGUCGUAGUCCUGACCAUAAACGAUGUCAACUAAGGAUUGGAUAAGAAACAUCGAAGUAUGAGCCUUUUUCUCCAACUUGUUGGAAAAAAAGCGUUUCGCUUCAUUUCUUCCCUUAUUCAGGACUUGAUGAGAAAUCAUUAAGUGAAUGGACUUCAGGGGGAGUAUGGUCACAAGGCUGAAACUUAAAGGAAUUGACGGAAGGGCACACCAGGAGUGGAGCCUGCGGCUUAAUUUGACUCAACACGGGAAAACUUACCAAGACCAAACGGUGUAAGGAAUGACAGAUUACUGGGUCUUUCAUGAUUCAUCGGGGAGU